RNAcentral lists this ribosomal RNA (722 nucleotides) under Salmonella enterica subsp. enterica serovar Newport. RNAcentral's name for it is "partial 23S ribosomal RNA". It matches the Rfam family "Bacterial large subunit ribosomal RNA", at positions 443 to 1165 of the family's 2925-position model. The record is from RNAcentral. Lineage: Bacteria; Pseudomonadati; Pseudomonadota; Gammaproteobacteria; Enterobacterales; Enterobacteriaceae.
UAUGGGGGGACCAUCCUCCAAGGCUAAAUACUCCUGACUGACCGAUAGUGAACCAGUACCGUGAGGGAAAGGCGAAAAGAACCCCGGCGAGGGGAGUGAAAAAGAACCUGAAACCGUGUACGUACAAGCAGUGGGAGCACCCUUCGGGGUGUGACUGCGUACCUUUUGUAUAAUGGGUCAGCGACUUAUAUUCUGUAGCAAGGUUAACCGAAUAGGGGAGCCGGAGGGAAACCGAGUCUUAACCGGGCGUUAAGUUGCAGGGUAUAGACCCGAAACCCGGUGAUCUAGCCAUGGGCAGGUUGAAGGUUGGGUAACACUAACUGGAGGACCGAACCGACUAAUGUUGAAAAAUUAGCGGAUGACCUGUGGCUGGGGGUGAAAGGCCAAUCAAACCGGGAGAUAGCUGGUUCUCCCCGAAAGCUAUUUAGGUAGCGCCUCGUGAAUUCAUCUCCGGGGGUAGAGCACUGUUUCGGCUAGGGGGCCAUCCCGGCUUACCAACCCGAUGCAAACUGCGAAUACCGGAGAAUGUUAUCACGGGAGACACACGGCGGGUGCUAACGUCCGUCGUGAAGAGGGAAACAACCCAGACCGCCAGCUAAGGUCCCAAAGUCAUGGUUAAGUGGGAAACGAUGUGGGAAGGCCCAGACAGCCAGGAUGUUGGCUUAGAAGCAGCCAUCAUUUAAAGAAAGCGUAAUAGCUCACUGGUCGAGUCGGCCUGCGCG